GUCACACUCUGGCCUUUUGGCUGAGAUGAUAAUAGUAUCUGUUCUUAUCAGUUUAAUAUCUGAUACGUCCUCUAUUCCAAGGAUAAUAUAUUAAAUGCGCUUUUGGAGCUUUGAGUUGGAGUAACAGCUUGUUAUUUCCACUCUGCAUCAACCUGGUAUUGCGGUUCAUUUACAAAUGGUGCGCUCUCC
Molecule: small nuclear RNA, 189 nt
Organism: Ochotona curzoniae (black-lipped pika)
Lineage: Eukaryota; Metazoa; Chordata; Mammalia; Lagomorpha; Ochotonidae
Product: U2 spliceosomal RNA
Exons: 1
Source: RefSeq, a predicted model, not a curated record